RNAcentral lists this ribosomal RNA (254 nucleotides) under uncultured bacterium. Its description in RNAcentral is "partial 16S ribosomal RNA". It matches the Rfam family "Bacterial small subunit ribosomal RNA", at positions 524 to 776 of the family's 1533-position model. The record is from RNAcentral.
UACGUAGGGGCAAGCGUUGGUCCGGAAUCAUUGGGCGUAAAGCGCGUGUAGGCGGCCAGAAAAGUCCGCUGUGAAAACUCGAGGCUCAACUUCGAGCUGUCGGUGGAAACUUUCUGGCUAGAGUCCGGAAGAGGAGAAUGGAAUUCCUGGGUGUAGCGGUGAAAUGCGCAGAUAUCAGGAAGAACACCCGUGGCGAAGGCGGUUCUCUGGGACGGUACUGACGCUGAGACGCGAAAGCGUGGGGAGCGAACAGG